This 357-nucleotide long non-coding RNA is filed under the name Pan troglodytes (chimpanzee). RNAcentral describes it as "long non-coding RNA NONPTRT012049". Lineage: Eukaryota; Metazoa; Chordata; Mammalia; Primates; Hominidae. The record is from RNAcentral.
UAUACAGUUGGUAUUUAUAUGCUCCUAUUUGCCAUUGUCCCUCUUCUAUCAGUGAAGACACUGUAUUAGAAACGUUGAAACAAAUUGCUAGCCAUGGAUGAUUAUACAAAAAUCUCAGUAUUGCUCUGUUGUUAAUAAAAGCAAAACUGGGGUGGAAGAUUUCACAGCAGAGGGAUAUCCUUUUGCCCAGUAAUCCAGGUUCUCAUUUGAUACCAAAAAGCUGUCACGAUGAGACACUGAAUACAUUCCAGGCAAAAGCAAAGGCUAAUAAAUCACUUUGAGAAUUAUGGCUAAGGAUAAAUAUUGGAAUUUCACAGCUCUUUCAGGAGCUGCCAUGUAUUUGAACACUGAAUUAGU